Molecule: long non-coding RNA, 2812 nt
Organism: Pseudopipra pipra
Lineage: Eukaryota; Metazoa; Chordata; Aves; Passeriformes; Pipridae
Exons: 2
Source: RefSeq, a predicted model, not a curated record
CUUCCCCCUGCCAAGCGGUCUUCAGCCUCCUCUCCCGCGUCUGGCUUUUCUUCGCCUGUACUCGCUCCCCAGGACCACUGGGACUCCGGCGGCAAGCGAUGUACACUGGACGUUGUCAUUUAAUGCCGAGCUUUCCCCCACAGCCCAUCUGUCCGAUGGUCACCCUGUGCAGAAAGAAAAGUGGGUGGGUGCCACUUUGGCAGAGGAGGGGUUGUCCAGACCCAGAUGGGGAGGACGGCCUUCCCAGUGCUCCCCUGUUCCUGUCCCCCUGCAGCUGGCCAACAGCUCUGCAAGCUUGCUGGGAACCACUUCCAGCACCACAGCGCCUGUGGGCCCAGAGAAGAUGCAGCUGGUCAGCUGCACCUGGCCCAGGCACCACCAGUACUGAAGGUACUCCUGCCUGGAGGAAGUGAGAGAAAACUCAUGUUCGUCCAGUCAAGCCUGAACUGGACUAAAUCGUAGAGCCACAACAGUAUCUUCGAGCAACCUGUAGAUCUACUUCCUUUUGUUUGAAAGUUAAAAUAAUUGUCUGUAAAAUUCAGUCCAGAAAUUCAGACCUGCUCUGAAGAUUCAUUGCAGGUUUUGAAGGAAUUUGGACAUGAGAAGUACUAUUGCAACUUAGUAAUGUAAAUGUUGUGGGAUUUUUUUCUCUGAGGAACCUAAGGUGUAGGCAAAGUUGACUGACUUUGUGGGCAAAAGUUAGGAAGCUGUCACUCUCAAUGAAGAAUGAGAAGUUAAAUGCUUUACAGAAAGUCAUACAGUAACAUGGAGUUCCUUUUUUCUUUCACCAAGACCUGUGCACCUACCUUUAAAAUUGAUGUUUUCCUAAUAAAAUAGAAAUAGUAAAAUGCAGAGCCAAAGCCACGUUUUCCAAUUAAAUGAUUUUCUGUCUUAGGUUCAUUAAUUUUCCCCUUAUGCACUGGUGUUAUACUAGCAACUAGUAUCUUCUGACAUACUUUGAUUGUUUUUAAAGGGGAGAAAGGAGGAAAAUUCAUUCUCUACCUCCCUGUUUGCUUGAUAUCUUCGAAAAUUGAUUUACCAGUGAUUUGCUCUUCCCUGUUAGUACUUUUCCCUGUAGUUUGUGCUACCAUUUGCCUUUCUAGUUCUUUCUCAACCUGAAAAUCCCUCUGGCUAAUCAGGUCUGGCAGCCUCUGCGCUGUGGUUCAUGUCAGCUUUCCAGGACUUUCCUGUAUUUCACAGAUCCAUGCUCCAGAGAUGUGUUAGGUGCCCCAGGGUCAUAAUUAAGGAGGAAACCACAGAGGGCAUUCGUAUAAAUUCAAAGAAAGUGACAGCUCAGGUUCCUCCAGGAAGAAGUCCUGCAAGCAGAUGUGCUAGCCCCUGAAGACCUUCUGGAACAGAGAAUGUUUUAAGAAUGGACUGGGGAUACAUAUCAUCAUUUGGAGUGGGAGAGUCUGGGCCAUAACAAAUGAAAGUAGGGAGAUCUUCAGAGAGUGGAGGUUGUGUCAGGGAGUCAUUUAAAGAUUGCCUUAGAUGGAUAGUUUGGAAUCCAAGGGAGUAUUUGGAUUUCCUUAGUUUCAAGAAUAACUGUUUUUACUGUUUUUUAUAAACAGUGCAGCUAGGUCACUUGACAGCAGCCACUAUACGGUCUAAUUUGCUGGUACGCAGUUCUUUGAUCUGCAGUUUUCCAUGCUUCAGGCUUGCCUCUGAUUUUACGUAUUUUAACGUCAAAUGCUUUUAAAAAGAAUAAAGUUUUGGGGUUUUUUGCUUAUUUGGGUUUUUUUGGUAAAACACUGUUUUUACAUAUGAUCAACUUUAUUAGUAGUUUUUUUCUUUAGCAAACACCUGUCUCCUUAUCCUUUGAAGCAGGAUCCCUUUUUUGAGUACGUCACUGUUCUCAUAAAAAGCCACUAUGUAUGUCCAAAUUUUGAGUGAGAGUUUUCACCUGUACAUUAGAUACCUUUUUUUUCGCAUUCAUCAGCCAAUACUUUGAGAUUGCUCACCCUCACUGGCUCACUGUUCCUAGUGUGUAGACUAUAGGGUCUACAUACCUAACCCUGUAUGCAGUCCACAACAAAGCAUGACUUCUUAUUGCUGUUCCCACUUCUUGUUGGUCACUGUGGGAGUGAACAUGAUAAUUGACAGCAAUUUUUAAUGAUUUUUCUGGGAAUGCAGAGGAGAAAAACCUUCUGUCCUGAAUGUAGAGGGUGAAAAGGAUGGGUGAAAGUACUCAGCUGGGAUGCAGAAUCUGGGGCAGGAGAAAGGAAGGAAGAGAAAGAAAUUGGGAUAGAGGUUUGGUAGAGCAGUCCUAUGUCAAGGUGUGUUCCAACCCAAGCCUCGUUUUCCCUUGGGCAAUUUAUUGUCAGAAACUCAGAGAUAUGUUGAAGGAAAUAAAGGGCAGAAUCCUUUAUUUCUCGUCUGUUGGUAGUAAAGAAUGAGAAUUUGAGUCUGGACCUAGGAAUAGAUGUGAGUCUGGGCUUUUUAUGAUCACUGAAAUUGGACUGAUGCUGCCUUAUUCAUAUGCUGUGUGGAUUUUAUUUUGAUUUUAUGAAUAAGGCUGCACUGCCCACUUUUCUGUUCUGUUCCUCCUGUUGGCAGAAUGUAACUCUUACCUUUCCAGCUUUGAUUGUGUUUAUUAUCUUUUUUUGAAGCAGUGGCUCCCACCUCUUUAUAGUUAUGACCAUACUGGCAGGCAUAAUUUGAAAAGACGCUAGUGUUUGUUGCAAAGCCAUCAGACUCCUUCUGCUUGUACUGAUGCCUGUCCCAGCAUGCUUGUUUGCCAUCUUUCCAUUUUGCAAAUGUGUCUUUUUGGGCUGAAAUCCAAACUGUCAUUAAAGUAAUUGUAAUUUGCAUA